UACAGAGGGCCCGAGCGUUGUUCGGAUUCAUUGGGCGUAAAGGGUGCGUAGGCGGCGCGGUAAGUCGGGUGUGAAAUCUCGGAGCUUAACUCCGAAACUGCAUUCGAUACUGCCGUGCUUGAGGACUGGAGAGGAGACUGGAAUUUACGGUGUAGCGGUGAAAUGCGUAGAUAUCGUAAGGAAGACCAGUGGCGAAGGCGGGUCUCUGGACAGUUCCUGACGCUGAGGCACGAAGGUCAGGGGAGCAAACGGG
This 253-nucleotide ribosomal RNA is filed under the name uncultured bacterium. RNAcentral's name for it is "partial 16S ribosomal RNA". It matches the Rfam family "Bacterial small subunit ribosomal RNA", at positions 524 to 776 of the family's 1533-position model. The record is from RNAcentral.